GCCGAGUGCGGUGGCCCGUGCCUGUAGUCCCAGCUACUCCAGAGGCUGGGGCUGAAGGAUUGCUUGAGCCCAGGAGUUCUGUAGUGCGCUAUGCCGAUAGGGUGUCCACACUAAGUUCGGCAUCAACAUGGUGACCUCCCGGGAACGGGGGACCACCAGGUUGCCUAAGGAUGGGUGAACUGGCCCAGGUCGGAAACAGAGCAGGUCAAAACUCCCGUGCUGAUCAGUAGUGGGAUCACGCCUGUGAAUAGUCACUGCACUCCAGGGCAACAUAGUGAGACCCCCAU
This 287-nucleotide signal recognition particle RNA is filed under the name Aotus nancymaae (Ma's night monkey). RNAcentral's name for it is "Metazoan signal recognition particle RNA (ENSANAG00000009901.1)". It matches the Rfam family "Metazoan signal recognition particle RNA". From Rfam's summary of the family: The signal recognition particle (SRP) is a universally conserved ribonucleoprotein. It is involved in the co-translational targeting of proteins to membranes. Lineage: Eukaryota; Metazoa; Chordata; Mammalia; Primates; Aotidae. The record is from Rfam by way of RNAcentral.